UACGUAGGGGGCAAGCGUUGUCCGGAAUCAUUGGGCGUAAAGCGCGUGUAGGCGGUCCGGUAAGUCGGCUGUGAAAGUCGGGGGCUCAACCCUCGGAUGCCGGUGGAUACUGUCGGGCUUGAGUACGGAAGAGGCGAGUGGAAUUCCUGGUGUAGCGGUGAAAUGCGCAGAUAUCAGGAGGAACACCAAUUGCGAAGGCAGCUCGCUGGGACGUUACUGACGCUGAGACGCGAAAGCCAGGGGAGCAAACGGG
This 253-nucleotide ribosomal RNA is filed under the name uncultured bacterium. RNAcentral describes it as "partial 16S ribosomal RNA". It matches the Rfam family "Bacterial small subunit ribosomal RNA", at positions 524 to 776 of the family's 1533-position model. The record is from RNAcentral.